RNAcentral lists this ribosomal RNA (433 nucleotides) under uncultured bacterium. RNAcentral describes it as "partial 16S ribosomal RNA". It matches the Rfam family "Bacterial small subunit ribosomal RNA", at positions 29 to 507 of the family's 1533-position model. The record is from RNAcentral.
AACGAACGCUGGCGGCAUGCCUAACACAUGCAAGUCGAACGAUCCCUUCGGGGAUAGUGGCGCACGGGUGCGUAACGCGUGGGAACCUGCCCUUAGGUUCGGAAUAACUCAGAGAAAUUUGAGCUAAUACCGGAUAAUGUCUUCGGACCAAAGAUUUAUCGCCUUUGGAUGGGCCCGCGUUGGAUUAGCUAGUUGGUGGGGUAAAGGCCUACCAAGGCGACGAUCCAUAGCUGGUCUGAGAGGAUGAUCAGCCACACUGGGACUGAGACACGGCCCAGACUCCUACGGGAGGCAGCAGUGGGGAAUAUUGGACAAUGGGCGAAAGCCUGAUCCGGCAAUGCCGCGUGAGUGAUGAAGGCCUUAGGGUUGUAAAGCUCUUUUACCCGGGAUGAUAAUGACAUUACCGGGAGAAUAAGCCCCGGCUAACUCCGUG